RNAcentral lists this long non-coding RNA (991 nucleotides) under Prunus dulcis (almond). RNAcentral describes it as "sRNA ncRNA". Lineage: Eukaryota; Viridiplantae; Streptophyta; Magnoliopsida; Rosales; Rosaceae. The record is from RNAcentral.
CUACGUUUGGUGCUAUGUCGGACUAAAAAAUAAUUAUUUAAAUAUUUAAAUUUAAUUAAAAAUUAAAAAUAAAUAAAUAAUUAUACAAGCCAACCCAUAUGAAUUGAAAAAUAGCCCCACCCCCAUCAGCCCUGCCAGCUCUCAUUCUCUCUCUCCUUUUUUUUUUUCCCUAGUAUUUUAUUCUUAUUUUCCUUGUUUUUCUCUCUUUUGUUUACUUUUCUCUAUUUUAUUUAUUCUCCUCUUCUCCAUCGUUUCUUUCUGUUAUGGUUUUUUUUUUUUUCCUUUUUUUUUUUCUUCUUCUCAAUUGUGAAGAGAGAUCCAGUAACCAACUGCCUUCAUCGCCACCAUUUUUUUGUGGGUCUCCACCAAGCAGCGCAUCAAAACCUGUAAUCCAAGAUGAGCAAUUUGACAGGAUUUAGUCCUGUCUCAAUUUGGCAACAACAGCAAGAUGGCUCCAUUUUUUCCAGCACCGCCGUCUUGAUUGUCUGCACUCAAUGGAUGGUGCGUUCAAAUGAAAACGAUCUAAACCGACUCAACACAAAUCAAGCGGCUUCUAGACACCCCCAAAACAUCAUCAGCAAGUAAGGAAGCUACCCAAAUAGGAGCAGUAUCAUAAUUACACAGACCCAUAUUUUUUUCUUCUUUUCUUUUCUUCCUUUUUCCUUCUUUCUUCUCUCGGUUUCUGGUUUCAUUGUUUUCUGCUUUUCAUUUUUUCUUUGGAACUACUACGAAUUGGACUCAGAUGGUGAAGAUAGAUGGUUUUGGGUUCUGCUGGUUGCUGGGGUGCAAAGAGAGAUCGUUCUGAGAAGAAAUCCAGGGUAGAGCGCUGGGCGUUGGGUUUCAUUCGGACUCGCGUGUUCAAAAUAGCGAGCGUACUAUUUUGCGAACCCAAUUUCGGGCUCACUAUAUUAGCUGUGCGAGUCCGGGCUUUUUUUAACUAUUGGACUAUAUAAUCUCAUUUAAGAUAAUCCCCUCCCUUACCAAACAUGGG